GACGAACGCUGGCGGCGUGCCUAAUACAUGCAAGUCGAACGCAGUGGGGACGGGUGAGUAACACGUGGGUAACCUCCCAUCAGAGGGGAUAACACUUGGAAACAGGUGCUAAACCGAUACUGAUGGAUGGACUCGGGGUGCAUUAGCUAGUUGGUGGGGUAACGGCUAACCAAGGCGACGAUGCAUAGCUGACCUGAGAGGGUGAUAGGCCACACGGGUCCUGAGAAACGGCCCAGACGCCUACGGGAGGCAGCAGUAGGGAAUCUUCGGCAAUGGACGAAAGUCUGACCGAGCAACGCCGCGUGAGUGAAGAAGGUUUUCGGAUCGUAACGCUCUGUUGUUAGAGAAGCGUUAUCUAACCAGAAAGCAACGGCUAACUACGUGCCAGCAGCCGCGGUAAUAC
This 403-nucleotide ribosomal RNA is filed under the name uncultured bacterium. RNAcentral's name for it is "partial 16S ribosomal RNA". It matches the Rfam family "Bacterial small subunit ribosomal RNA", at positions 28 to 526 of the family's 1533-position model. The record is from RNAcentral.